This 1282-nucleotide ribosomal RNA is filed under the name Salmonella enterica subsp. enterica serovar Typhimurium. Its description in RNAcentral is "partial 23S ribosomal RNA". It matches the Rfam family "Bacterial large subunit ribosomal RNA", at positions 345 to 1547 of the family's 2925-position model. Lineage: Bacteria; Pseudomonadati; Pseudomonadota; Gammaproteobacteria; Enterobacterales; Enterobacteriaceae. The record is from RNAcentral.
GAAAGGUGCGCGAUACAGGGUGACAGCCCCGUACACAAAAGCGCAUGUGCUGUGAGCUCGAUGAGUAGGGCGGGACACGUGGUAUCCUGUCUGAAUAUGGGGGGACCAUCCUCCAAGGCUAAAUACUCCUGACUGACCGAUAGUGAACCAGUACCGUGAGGGAAAGGCGAAAAGAACCCCGGCGAGGGGAGUGAAAAAGAACCUGAAACCGUGUACGUACAAGCAGUGGGAGCACAGGUUUACCUGUGUGACUGCGUACCUUUUGUAUAAUGGGUCAGCGACUUAUAUUCUGUAGCAAGGUUAACCGUAUAGGGGAGCCGGAGGGAAACCGAGUCUUAAUUGGGCGUUAAGUUGCAGGGUAUAGACCCGAAACCCGGUGAUCUAGCCAUGGGCAGGUUGAAGGUUGGGUAACACUAACUGGAGGACCGAACCGACUAAUGUUGAAAAAUUAGCGGAUGACCUGUGGCUGGGGGUGAAAGGCCAAUCAAACCGGGAGAUAGCUGGUUCUCCCCGAAAGCUAUUUAGGUAGCGCCUCGUGAAUUCAUCUCCGGGGGUAGAGCACUGUUUCGGCUAGGGGGCCAUCCCGGCUUACCAACCCGAUGCAAACUGCGAAUACCGGAGAAUGUUAUCACGGGAGACACACGGCGGGUGCUAACGUCCGUCGUGAAGAGGGAAACAACCCAGACCGCCAGCUAAGGUCCCAAAGUCAUGGUUAAGUGGGAAACGAUGUGGGAAGGCCCAGACAGCCAGGAUGUUGGCUUAGAAGCAGCCAUCAUUUAAAGAAAGCGUAAUAGCUCACUGGUCGAGUCGGCCUGCGCGGAAGAUGUAACGGGGCUAAACCAUGCACCGAAGCUGCGGCAGCGAACGUAUCACCCAAGACAACUUUACGGAGUUGACGAUUGACGGAGCGAAGCGACGUCAAAGCGUUCAUUAAAGUCGAGUUGGCUUAGGGAUACGUUCGUUGGGUAGGGGAGCGUUCUGUAAGCCUGUGAAGGUGUGUCGUGAGGCAUGCUGGAGGUAUCAGAAGUGCGAAUGCUGACAUAAGUAACGAUAAAGCGGGUGAAAAGCCCGCUCGCCGGAAGACCAAGGGUUCCUGUCCAACGUUAAUCGGGGCAGGGUGAGUCGACCCCUAAGGCGAGGCCGAAAGGCGUAGUCGAUGGGAAACGGGUUAAUAUUCCCGUACUUGGUGUUACUGCGAAGGGGGGACGGAGAAGGCUAUGUUGGCCGGGCGACGGUUGUCCCGGUUUAAGCGUGUAGGUGUGUGUUCCAGGUAAAUCCGGUU